This 432-nucleotide ribosomal RNA is filed under the name uncultured fungus. Its description in RNAcentral is "eukaryotic LSU rRNA". It matches the Rfam family "Eukaryotic large subunit ribosomal RNA", at positions 1 to 432 of the family's 3401-position model. Lineage: Eukaryota; Fungi. The record is from RNAcentral.
GACCUCGGAUCAAGUAGGAAUACCCGCUGAACUUAAGCAUAUCAAUAAGCGGAGGAAAAGAAACCAACAGGGAUUACCCUAGUAACGGCGAGUGAAGCGGUAACAGCUCAAAUUUGAAAUCUGGCCUUCACGGGUCCGAGUUGUAAUUUGUAGAGGAUGUUUCGGACAAGGCUGUGGUUUAAGUUUCUUGGAACAGAACGUCAUAGAGGGUGAGAGUCCCGUCUAGAACCGAAAGCCGCGUCCAUGUGAAACUCCUUCGACGAGUCGAGUUGUUUGGGAAUGCAGCUCAAAAUGGGUGGUAAAUUUCAUCUAAAGCUAAAUAUUGGCCAGAGACCGAUAGCGCACAAGUAGAGUGAUCGAAAGAUGAAAAGCACUUUGAAAAGAGAGUUAAACAGUAUGUGAAAUUGUUGAAAGGGAAGCGCUUGCAACCAG